Molecule: ribosomal RNA, 274 nt
Filed under: uncultured bacterium
Lineage: Bacteria
Description: partial 16S ribosomal RNA
Rfam family: Bacterial small subunit ribosomal RNA
Source: RNAcentral
AUACGGAGGGUGCAAGCGUUAUCCGGAAUCAUUGGGUUUAAAGGGUCCGUAGGCGGACUAUUAAGUCAGAGGUGAAAUCCCACAGCUCAACUGUGGAACUGCCUUUGAUACUAGUAGUCUUGAGUUAUAUGGAAGUAGAUAGAAUGUGUAGUGUAGCGGUGAAAUGCAUAGAUAUUACACAGAAUACCGAUUGCGAAGGCAGUCUACUACGUAUAUACUGACGCUAAGGGACGAAAGCGUGGGGAGCGAACAGGAUUAGAAACCCCGGUAGUCC